AUUGAACGCUGGCGGCAGGCUUAACACACGCAAGUCGAGCGGGGAAAGGUAGCUUGCUACCUGACCUAGCGGCGGACGGGUGAGUAAUGCUUAGGAAUCUGCCUAUUAGUGGGGGACAACAUCUCGAAAGGGAUGCUAAUACCGCAUACGUCCUACGGGAGAAAGCAGGGGACCUUCGGGCCUUGCGCUAAUAGAUGAGCCUAAGUCGGAUUAGCUAGUUGGUGGGGUAAAGGCCUACCAAGGCGACGAUCUGUAGCGGGUCUGAGAGGAUGAUCCGCCACACUGGGACUGAGACACGGCCCAGACUCCUACGGGAGGCAGCAGUGGGGAAUAUUGGACAAUGGGGGGAACCCUGAUCCAGCCAUGCCGCGUGUGUGAAGAAGGCCUUUUGGUUGUAAAGCACUUUAAGCGAGGAGGAGGCUACCGAGAUUAAUACUCUUGGAUAGUGGACGUUACUCGCAGAAUAAGCACCGGCUAACUCUGUG
Molecule: ribosomal RNA, 485 nt
Filed under: uncultured bacterium
Lineage: Bacteria
Description: partial 16S ribosomal RNA
Rfam family: Bacterial small subunit ribosomal RNA
Source: RNAcentral